GUGCUCAUUUUGGUAGCGCAUAUAAUAAAAUUUAGAAAUGAUACAGAGAAGAUUAACAUGGCUCCCGCGUAAGGAUGAUGUGCAAAUUCACGAAGUGUUCCAUAUGUUU
Small nuclear RNA from Diceros bicornis minor, 109 nucleotides. The record is from RefSeq and is a predicted model, not a curated record. NCBI's taxonomy places the organism in Eukaryota, Metazoa, Chordata, Mammalia, Perissodactyla, Rhinocerotidae.